RNAcentral lists this long non-coding RNA (513 nucleotides) under Zostera marina. RNAcentral's name for it is "long non-coding RNA (ZMAR_LNC001867)". Lineage: Eukaryota; Viridiplantae; Streptophyta; Magnoliopsida; Alismatales; Zosteraceae. The record is from RNAcentral.
GAAGAUACAUACGAGGAUACAAGUUCCCAAUCCGAAACCUCAACUACUCUUCUUCGAUACGGCGAGGAGUCUCCGGGUAGCAGUUAUGGCCACCAGAGUCAUAGCUCACACCCUAAAUCCAGUAGCAGUUAUGGCCACCAAAGUCAGAACUCACACUCUCGGUCUGGUAACAGUUACGGCUACUAAAGUCAUAGCUUACGCUCUCAAUCCUAUGACAGUGAUGACAACCAAAGCCACGGUUCACACUCACAAUCAACCGCGUCACGCUAAUAGUGGGUAACUAUCAUUUGUCAGGAGAAAGAUAGGAUUAGCCAGAUAGGCUAUGCAUCCGUCAGUGGCAACCAAAAAUCAAAGGAACUCAUCUAUUCUUUUGGUUGUCGCUUCUAUUGUUCUCAACCAUGUAACAAUGAUUUUAUUCUAAGUAGAUGUCUCCUUUAACCCGUGAAGGUAUUAUGCGGUAUGUAUGCCACAUUUAGAAUAACCAUUAAUCACUUCAGACGGAUCAAUCACCCA